RNAcentral lists this long non-coding RNA (815 nucleotides) under Rattus norvegicus (Norway rat). Its description in RNAcentral is "long non-coding RNA NONRATT016033". Lineage: Eukaryota; Metazoa; Chordata; Mammalia; Rodentia; Muridae. The record is from RNAcentral.
AGAAAAAAGAAAUCACAUACUGGAUGGAACUAGCAGAUUAGUCAUCAAGAAAGAAAAAAUAACUCAAAGACUGUAAGACAAACUUUAAAUGUGAAGACAGAAAAAACAGCAUUAGUGAGCAACAAGACGUAUACAUGUUUUCCAAUAAAACUUUGUUUAUUUUAUCUCUUGAGACAGGGUAUCACUAUGUAGCCCUGGCUGGACUGGAACUCACUAUUAGACCAGAUUGGCCUUGAACUCACAGAAAUCUGCCUGCCUCUGCCUCCUGACAGCUGGGAUUGGAUAACAUAUUUUCUUUAGCUCUUUUCACCUUUUAAAAAUAACUUUUCCCACCCACAGGCAUUUGGAUAAUAAUAGCACUGAACCAGGGCUUACAUUGGGAGGCUAUUUCUGCCCACAGUGUCGAGCAAAGUACUGUGAGCUUCCUGUCGAAUGUAAAAUAUGUGGUCUUACUUUGGUGUCUGCACCUCACUUGGCAAGAUCUUAUCAUCAUUUAUUUCCUUUGGAUGCUUUUCAAGAAAUCCCCCUGGAAGAAUAUAAAGGAGAGAGGUUUUGUUAUGGAUGUCAGGGUGAAUUGAAAGACCAACAUGUCUAUGUUUGCACAGUGUGCCGGAACGUCUUCUGUGUGGACUGCGAUGUCUUUGUUCACGACUCUCUCCACUGCUGUCCUGGCUGUGUUCAUAAGAUCCCAACUCAGUCAGGUGUUUGAUCCCACGAAGAACACACACAUUGAGUAGGUUAAAAACAGAACAAAGCUUGUGACUGUAAAUAAAAUGACUUUGAAUAAACUGAUUCUCUAAUUAAAGCAUGAAAAC